CUUGCACCUGAUUGAUUUUGGUCGCCAACGAGUGGCGGACGGGUGAGUAACACGUAGGUAACCUGCCCAGAAGCGGGGGACAACAUUUGGAAACAGAUGCUAAUACCGCAUAACAACGUUGUUCGCAUGAACAACGCUUAAAAGAUGGCUUCUCGCUAUCACUUCUGGAUGGACCUGCGGUGCAUUAGCUUGUUGGUGGGGUAACGGCCUACCAAGGCGAUGAUGCAUAGCCGAGUUGAGAGACUGAUCGGCCACAAUGGGACUGAGACACGGCCCAUACUCCUACGGGAGGCAGCAGUAGGGAAUCUUCCACAAUGGGCGCAAGCCUGAUGGAGCAACACCGCGUGAGUGAAGAAGGGUUUCGGCUCGUAAAGCUCUGUUGUUAAAGAAGAACACGUAUGAGAGUAACUGUUCAUACGUUGACGGUAUUUAACCAGAAAGUCACGGCUAACUACGUGCCAGCAGCCGCGGUAAUACGUAGGUGGCAAGCGUUAUCCGGAUUUAUUGGGCGUAAAGAGAGUGCAGGCGGUUUUCUAAGUCUGAUGUGAAAGCCUUCGGCUUAACCGGAGAAGUGCAUCGGAAACUGGAUAACUUGAGUGCAGAAGAGGGUAGUGGAACUCCAUGUGUAGCGGUGGAAUGCGUAGAUAUAUGGAAGAACACCAGUGGCGAAGGCGGCUACCUGGUCUGCAACUGACGCUGAGACUCGAAAGCAUGGGUAGCGAACAGGAUUAGAUACCCUGGUAGUCCAUGCCGUAAACGAUGAGUGCUAGGUGUUGGAGGGUUUCCGCCCUUCAGUGCCGGAGCUAACGCAUUAAGCACUCCGCCUGGGGAGUACGACCGCAAGGUUGAAACUCAAAGGAAUUGACGGGGGCCCGCACAAGCGGUGGAGCAUGUGGUUUAAUUCGAAGCUACGCGAAGAACCUUACCAGGUCUUGACAUCUUGCGCCAACCCUAGAGAUAGGGCGUUUCCUUCGGGAACGCAAUGACAGGUGGUGCAUGGUCGUCGUCAGCUCGUGUCGUGAGAUGUUGGGUUAAGUCCCGCAACGAGCGCAACCCUUGUUACUAGUUGCCAGCAUUAAGUUGGGCACUCU
This 1091-nucleotide ribosomal RNA is filed under the name Limosilactobacillus fermentum. Its description in RNAcentral is "bacterial SSU rRNA". It matches the Rfam family "Bacterial small subunit ribosomal RNA", at positions 67 to 1141 of the family's 1533-position model. Lineage: Bacteria; Bacillati; Bacillota; Bacilli; Lactobacillales; Lactobacillaceae. The record is from RNAcentral.